UACGUAGGGACCAAGCGUUGUUCGGAUUUACUGGGCGUAAAGGGCGCGUAGGCGGCAAUUCAAGUCAUCUGUGAAAUCUCCGGGCUUAACUCGGAACGGUCAGAUGAUACUGCUUUGCUAGAGUACAGAAGGGGCAAUCGGAAUUCUUGGUGUAGCGGUGAAAUGCGCAGAUAUCAGGAGGAACACCGGUGGCGAAGGCGGGUCUCUGGGCCGAUACUGACGCUGAGGAGCGAAAGCGUGGGGAGCGAACAGG
This 253-nucleotide ribosomal RNA is filed under the name uncultured bacterium. Its description in RNAcentral is "partial 16S ribosomal RNA". It matches the Rfam family "Bacterial small subunit ribosomal RNA", at positions 524 to 776 of the family's 1533-position model. The record is from RNAcentral.